This 256-nucleotide ribosomal RNA is filed under the name uncultured bacterium. Its description in RNAcentral is "partial 16S ribosomal RNA". It matches the Rfam family "Bacterial small subunit ribosomal RNA", at positions 521 to 776 of the family's 1533-position model. The record is from RNAcentral.
UAAUACGUAAGUGGCGAGCGUUAUCCGGAAUCACUGGGCGUAAAGCGUUCGUAGGCGGCGCAGUAAGUCGGAAUUGAAAUACCAGGGCUUAACUCUGGACCCGGUUCCGAAACUGCUGUGCUUGAGCGUAUCAGAGGGUAGUGGAAUUCCCGGUGUAGCGGUAAUAUGCGUAGAUAUCGGGAGGAACACCAGUGGCGAAGGCGGCUACCUGGGAUAUUGCUGACGCUGAGGAACGAAAGCCAGGGGAGCGAACGGG